RNAcentral lists this ribosomal RNA (253 nucleotides) under uncultured bacterium. Its description in RNAcentral is "partial 16S ribosomal RNA". It matches the Rfam family "Bacterial small subunit ribosomal RNA", at positions 524 to 776 of the family's 1533-position model. The record is from RNAcentral.
UACGUAGGGGGCUAGCGUUGUCCGGAUUUAUUGGGCGUAAAGAGCGUGUAGGCGGCCAGGUAGGUCUGCUGUGAAAACUCGAGGCUCAACCUCGAGACGUCGGCGGAAACCAUCUGGCUAGAGUCCGGAAGAGGAGAGUGGAAUUCCUGGUGUAGCGGUGAAAUGCGCAGAUAUCAGGAGGAACACCGGUGGCGAAGGCGGGUCUCUGGGCCGAUCCUGACGCUGAGGAGCGAAAGCGUGGGGAGCGAACAGG